UUCGGGACGAUAACACGAAUAUGACUCACAAUGAGCGGCAAUCACACAGACGCGACAGUAAACACAUCGGAUUGUCGUCGCGCGUUACUUCCGAUUCUCCCAAGCUGGUGAAGACGGAAUUAUGAGUCUCGUUACAUUAUUACGCGUGCUAUUACGUUGUAUUACGCACGAUCAUCUCGAGCGAUUUUCUUCAGCACUUUAGCAUUUUUUUAAGGAUCUACCAGAGCUUGCAGCCAUACGAUGGGUGCGAUCCUCGAGGGAAUGUAGUUUCGACGGAUGCGGAUGCCGUACCGGAGGUUCCGGUUCGGGCCGAGUCAGAGUCGGUCCGAAGAUCUGCAGCACGGAGCAUGGCGGGCUCUGAGCUUCCGCGUUUCGUGAACGCGAGUGCAGGGGAAAUUAGCGAAGCGAAGUGAGUAAGGAGUGAUCGACGUGAGACAACAACCGAACGUCGAGGGACCUGGACGGAUGCGAUGCAACAAUCAGGAUGGAUUUCAUCGGGACGGACCUGGAAAUUCGUCGCUUGGAUAUCGACGCGAAAUGCUGAGCGUCCAAUUUGAACGCUUAGAUGAAAAGCGUCAUUUUACGUGCAUUGAACAGAAAUCGCAUCGAUUCGCAUCUCGUUUGCAUUUCCGACGAGAAAAAGUUAGGGUAGUUGUGUAUAUUAUAAAUGUAUUUUGCCAUUUGAGAGUGCGAAAGCACAUUAGAGCGAUCUAUACAUAUAAUGUUUGAAUUGCAAUUGCGAUAUAUCAUCGAAAUAUUCUGAAGUUUAAUUAGAAUCUCAGUUAAAACUGAGACAAGUCAGACACGAGGCGAAAGCGAAAGAUAACAAAUAGCUAGACCGUGGAAAUCAAUAUCAGCCGAGUCACGAAAACUCAUCUCGCGUUUAAUCGUUUAGAACAAUUUUUUUCUACACUGAUCGUUCCAAUCGCGCGAAGAAAGAGAAAAAACCGAUCAACGCUCACAACCGACCGUUAAGUCCCACAUUCGGAUUUUGCCUGUUCUAAUCCUGAUUGCCUUUGUUCGUCCGGCAUUAUGAUAAUGCACAUGCGGGAAGCGGCGCCAUUUGUCGCUGUAUGUGCCGUGUCGCGUCGUUGAUUCAGAUCGCAUCGAAAUUGCAUAGAACUGCAAACAAUGGCUGCGCGUGUGUGUGCACAAUCCGCAUACACACCGUGGAAAGUUUCGCACGCGUGUCGCAGAUUGCUCAACCGCAGGAAUUUGAUCAACGCACAGUGCUGACAUUAAUUACGCACAGAUGUUUUAAUUGAUUUUCCUUCGUGUCACGCGUAACGCACGCGGAUUGAUGGCCGCUCUCGAUGAAAUUAACACAUGGCCCGCCAUGUGUGCGAAAGUGCGCGUUCUAAACGCUAAAUUUACGUUGCCCGAGAUCAUUUUGACCGAUGACCGCGCGACCAAAUAUUUCCUUUCUUCAUUUUCACGCCGUCUUAUAAUUUUGAUGACGAACAAUGAAAAUAGACGAAGGUAAAAAUGAAACGCUGCAAGAACGCCGUCCGUUUUCACGUUGGCAAAACUGACGGACUCCUCCUUCAAGAGAGGGUGAAUAUUUUAAAGGAACUUGAAGGACAGUUCUGUGAAUUUUGAUGCAAAAGCUUACGUGGAUUUAUGCACAUUCGUUCUUCGUAACGGGGAUUAUAAGCGCCGCGGAACGCCUCACGUAGGGGUUGAACAAUUCAUCUGCGGCGACCUGGAAAGACGGGAUCAAGGGUGGCGACUAUUCGACGGCUCGAAGUUAAAAUGGCGCCAGGCGGGUCAAUCUACGCGUUAAAAGUGGGUCAGUUCACUAUGGCACGCCGCCAAUGCUCUCACGUGCGAAGCCUCCCACGCUCACCGUCGUCACCCUUCACCGACGGCUACCCCCGUUUUUUUUUUCUCUUGAAUUACUUUCUACCCCGCGUGCGUACGACCGCUCGAAGACGUACACGCAAGCAAGCAUAUAAGAGAGGAAAUAUGCCGACAUACGCUUAUGUAUACUCCUCUUAAUUCGGUUUAUUAAUUGAAUCGCUGACCUGAGAGACUCGCGAUAAAAUGUGCACUCGUGACUACAUAGAGAAAAAAUAUUUCUGCGGAUUUAAUCAAAUUUUUUUAAUUGCAACAAAUCUGUCUUUUGGGGCGAAUCAAAUAUGUUUGAUUUCAACAAACGGGGUUGUUUGGUUUUUCUCAAACAAUAAGUAUCUUUGCGUUAAAUAACAUA
Molecule: long non-coding RNA, 2209 nt
Organism: Dinoponera quadriceps
Lineage: Eukaryota; Metazoa; Arthropoda; Insecta; Hymenoptera; Formicidae
Exons: 4
Source: RefSeq, a predicted model, not a curated record